UAUAAUAAAUGAAUAAGGACUAUUUAUUUAUAAAUGUAUCUGGAACGUUCCUCUUAGCUUAUUGAUGUAUAUUCUCUACUGCGGACAGUUUACUGCUGAAUAAUCUGUGUUUCUCUGAGUCUUACUUGUGGCCAUCAAAGGGUGCGUCACAAUAAUAUCUCUGUCCUCCUGAAGUGUGCACUUGUUCACAACUUCCCACCAAUCUAAAAGCAUUGAGAUAUGGUGGACACUCCCACCAGCCCAUUGCUCUGCAAUAUUUAUUUUAUACCGGUCAUUUGGUUGGGCCAUAGCUAGAGAUGGUUGGGCCAUAGCUAGGGUGUCCACUCUGGGAGGGAGGAAGGAGAUGGUUGGGCCAUAGCUAGGGUGUCCACUCUGGGAGGAAGGAGAUGGUUGGGCCAUAGCUAGGGUGUCCACUCUGGGAGGGAGGAAGGAGAUGGUUGGGCCAUAGCUAGGGUGUCCACUCUGGGAGGAAGGAGGUGGGCCAUAGCUAGGGUGUCCACUCUGGGAGGAAGUAAAACCAACACAUGUUUAUUUACUUUGUGAUUUCU
Molecule: long non-coding RNA, 548 nt
Organism: Oncorhynchus keta (chum salmon)
Lineage: Eukaryota; Metazoa; Chordata; Actinopteri; Salmoniformes; Salmonidae
Exons: 3
Source: RefSeq, a predicted model, not a curated record